Molecule: ribosomal RNA, 707 nt
Filed under: NC10 bacterium enrichment culture clone Ino-nFR5
Lineage: Bacteria; Methylomirabilota (SeqCode)
Description: bacterial SSU rRNA
Rfam family: Bacterial small subunit ribosomal RNA
Source: RNAcentral
GACCAAAGGGGGCGAGCGCAAGCGGCUCUCGCUGAGGGAUGGGCCUGCGGCUGAUUAGCUAGUUGGUGGGGUAACGGCCUACCAAGGCAACGAUCAGUAGCCGACCUGAGAGGGUGACCGGCCACACUGGGACUGAGACACGGCCCAGACUCCUACGGGAGGCAGCAGUGGGGAAUAUUGCGCAAUGGGCGAAAGCCUGACGCAGCGACGCCGCGUGGGUGACGAAGGCCUUCGGGUCGUAAAGCCCUGUCGGGUGGAACGAAUCUCUCGCGGGCGAAUACCUCGCGGGAUUGACGGUACCACCGAAGGAAGCCCCGGCUAACUACGUGCCAGCAGCCGCGGUAAUACGUAGGGGGCGAGCGUUGUUCGGAUUUACUGGGCGUAAAGAGCGCGUAGGCGGUUCGAUCAGUCGGAGGUGAAAGCCCUCGGCUCAACCGAGGAUCCGCGUCCGAUACUGUCGAACUUGAGUGCAGGAGAGGAGAGCGGAAUUCCCAGUGUAGCGGUGAAAUGCGUAGAUAUUGGGAGGAACACCGGUGGCGAAGGCGGCUCUCUGGACUGCUACUGACGCUGAGGCGCGAAAGCUAGGGGAGCAAACGGGAUUAGAUACCCCGGUAGUCCUAGCCGUAAACGAUGGGCACUAGGUGUGGGAGGUAUCGACCCCUUCUGUGCCGCAGCUAACGCAUUAAGUGCCCCGCCUGGGGAGUACG